CUGCAACCCAGAAACAAAAAGAGGUCCAUUGUGAUCGGCCACGAAGGGCCCUGGGAGAAUCUCCUUAUCUCCAGGAGCUGAAGAAUACCUGAAAAAUUCGCUGACGUCUUCCCUAAUUCUGAGUGAGGGAUGCUGCUGGGAAGGGUGCCUGCCGCCACAGCCAGCUGGGUCCCCACCCCGCCAGCCACUGAGCUCGCUUGGGAGCUCAGGCCUCACACGAUGCUGGUGCUCGGUGACCUCCCACUUGGAACGUGGCAGGAGGAAGAGUUCAGAGGGAGGGCAGAGUGGCCAAACGGGAACAUUAGGAGAGCCAGCCCCUGCGCCCACUCCUUCCAUCCCUCAGCGCACCCUCAUGUGUCACUAACAAGUCUCCCUCCCACUAACACGAGCUGUGAGUUAUGGUUUUCAGGCUGCUGCAUAGAUUUUUGAACAUUUCAGUAAAAUCGGAAGAUCAAAGUGUAUCUUUAUUUAGCCACCAAGUUGUAAUUCCACGAGGGCAUUUUAAUUAGAAUGUGGCAAAAGCAAACUCACACUGAGUUUAUGUCAAUUAUUCAACAGUCCUGGCUUAUGUCAGGGGUUCUCACUCUGUCAAGUGGGUCCGAAUCCUCUGGAAGGCUUGUGAAAAAACAGAGUCCUGGAGUUUCUGAUGCACUGGGUCUGGGGCAGGCUGGAGAAUUUGCACUUCUAACAAGUUCCCAGAUGAGGCUGAUUCUGCUGGUCCAGGAACCCCACAUUGAGAACCACCACUCUGGACAAUGACUAUGUCCAUAGUCCUGUCUUGCAUGAAAUGGAUGUUGACUGACAGCCGGGACUCCUUUCAACAACCCCAGGUGAACCCACAGAAAAGAACUCCUUGGGUGAGGUUCUCACUGCUCCCAGACCAAGUUAAAGUUCUAUGUCCAUGGUUCUCAAGCUUGAAUGGACAGUGGGAUCAGCUGGGGAACUUUUAAAAAUAUGGAUACGUGGGUGUCACACCCAUGGACUGUGAUUCAGCAGUCUGGGUCUGGGGUCUGGUCUGUGUCUGUUAGGAGCUCCCCAGGGGAGUCCAGUCACAGCCUGAAUGGCAAAGCCCUGGUUCUGAAGCCGUGGUCCUCCCAGGUGUGCGCCCGACCAGCUGUAUCAUCUGGGGCAGGGGCUAGAGAAGUAGACUCUUAAGUCCCAGUCUGCAGCCACUGAGUCAGAUCCUGAGAGGGGCCUCGCCUUCUGUA
Non-coding RNA from Vicugna pacos (alpaca), 1208 nucleotides. NCBI's taxonomy places the organism in Eukaryota, Metazoa, Chordata, Mammalia, Artiodactyla, Camelidae. The record is from RefSeq and is a predicted model, not a curated record.